RNAcentral lists this ribosomal RNA (195 nucleotides) under Staphylococcus aureus. RNAcentral's name for it is "partial 23S ribosomal RNA". It matches the Rfam family "Bacterial large subunit ribosomal RNA", at positions 2730 to 2925 of the family's 2925-position model. The record is from RNAcentral. Lineage: Bacteria; Bacillati; Bacillota; Bacilli; Caryophanales; Staphylococcaceae.
CAACGGCAUAGCUGGGUAGCUAUGUGUGGACGGGAUAAGUGCUGAAAGCAUCUAAGCAUGAAGCCCCCCUCAAGAUGAGAUUUCCCAACUUCGGUUAUAAGAUCCCUCAAAGAUGAUGAGGUUAAUAGGUUCGAUGUGGAAGCAUGGUGACAUGUGGAGCUGACGAAUACUAAUCGAUCGAAGACUUAAUCAAAA